AUCCAUCUGUUGCAUUGAAUAUUUUCUUUGGAUCAAUUUGUAAAAUUUGGCUCUUUUCUUCUAAAAUUGGCCAAACGAGCUCGAAUUCAUGAAACCCAACAAUCUUGACAAGGUUUGGAACCGGUUGGAUACUAAUCAUAAAUGGAUCGCGCUUCAGAACUUUCUCCAAAGCUGGAGUCGUCACCCCACACUUCGAAACACAAACUGAAAAUACAGGGGGCCAUGUCGUGGUAAUGGUCAAACUACAGCUUGGUUCCUGCAAUUCAGCUUGUUCUUGUUCUUCGUCUGACCUCUCUGCUAGCAAUCUUUCCAGCUCCUCCAAGUCUCUUUCUGGAUUAAAUUCUUCAUCUUGUAACUCAAAUGUCCCUUCUGUGUUGGGCAAGAUGUUAUCUAACCAUCUUCCAAAUUUCUUCAAAUCUUCAUCUGAGUCAUACUCCUCAUCUCCUUGCUCAAUUUCCUGUACUACUUCCUCAAGAAAAGCAUCAAAAGCAUCGAGAUUUGGAAAAUACAUAAUAAAUAAAAAUUAAAAUUAAAAUUAAACUAAAUAAAAAAAUUAAUCAAAAAAUAAAAAAAAAAUAAUAACAAUUAGCAAAUAAAAUUAANACUAAAUAUGCUCAUAUCAAAAUACCCCACACUUGACUUUUGCUUGCCCCCAAGCAAAACUGAAUUUUAGUACACUAAUAUUACAUAAGACAAUCCCAAUCGAACCCAGCCAUUAUGCCAAGACCGCAACGCAUGCAUUUGUGUCUAAAAUUUUCCUAAUAACCCCCCAUACUCCAAAUACUCACAAUCCUCAUAAACAUUCGCCCACUUUUUCCGAACAAUGCUCAUUUUAUGCAUCCCUCCGAAUCCAUCCUCAGAAAACCUCUUAACCUCAAGGUAUUUUUAGUUGAGCAACCCAAACAUACAUAAUCUAGAAUUACAACUUUUCGAUACCACUAUGGAGCUCUUUUGAAUUCUUCAUUUCCUUGAUAAUUUGAUCUUUGAUCUCUUUGAAUUCACCACCUUUAUUGUUUGAUUUUUGAUAUCUUCAACUUUUUGGAUUUCUUGGAAUUUUGAUCUUUUGAUCUUUACUUUAACUUCUCCAAAAUUCCUACAAAUUUUCUUGUAAUUCUGUCUUUUGUUUUUUUACAUGUACCUCACUUUUUUUUCACUCAAAACCUACAUGCUUAAGUAGGGGCGCUCAACUUCAACCUUUAUUGGUUAACGAUAAUAAUUUUCCUGGAUACAUUUCUGGUACACGAUGCUAAACAUAUUGCAUCCUUGAAACUAAGCGAGGUCGUGUUUUUGUCCCAUGAUUUCACUAGAAUAAGGAAGCCACAAAUGCACUAGAACGUAUAUAGGCUCAACUAAACAUUUGGGUUUUCAUGCAAUCAUCAAAUAUAAUACUAGCAUAGAAUCCUAAUUGCUUGACCAAAAUUUUCUAAAUUAUCCCUAGCAAUUUAAAUGCAAAAUUUUCAAAAUUUAUCAUAAAUUAACUAAAAUUUUAACUAAUUUAACCAACCCCCUACCCCACAUUUAAUUUAUGCAAUGUCCCCAUUGCAUAUAAUGGAUGAUAAAGAACAAUAAAAUAAAGAGGGAAUUGGAACAAACUCCCCUAGGAUAGUAGUCGCGAGGUUAAUCUUCUUAAUGUAAAGCUCCAACUUCAGCUGACUUUGGCAUGGGAACAGCGCAUCCAUGCCUUGGGUGUCAAAGCUCGUGUGGUUAACAACUCUCAAUAUGUGGGAAAAAGCAUCUUGGAAACGCUUAGAAAUGGUCUUCAAAAAUAUAGCCAAUUGCCGCCUUGAAUUGAAUCAAAUCGUCGACUCAAAUAUAAAAGAAGGAGCAACUCGCCGAGUUUUAUGUGGAGACUCGCCGAGUUGAAUCGCUAUACUCGCAGAAAUCGUGAGUUUUUGCUUGGACUCGUCGAGUUAGUAUUAUGCACUCGACGAGUUCUUGACUCUGAUCAGGCCUUUUCUUCUUUCUGCUUCAGCUUUAAUUUUGUGUUCAAGGAGAGUAUCAAGGUAAUAAAACUCCUCAUUUUCUUAAGGGACGAGACUCUUUUUAAUUUAAUAUAAACAUCGGACUCAACAUAUCGCUCAAAAUCUUCUAAUCUUCUCGUAAACGACUCGACCGCUCACUUUAAUUCCCUCACGCUUUAAGAAUUCAUCACCCUAGCUUCUAAAAAGAUCAAAGACAAAACCACGUAAUAAAAAGGAAAACAAACAUCAAAAUAAAAAUUCCUAUAUUAUCCCUAAAUACUAGAAGUUUAAAAGAAAAAGAAAAGCAAACUCUAAUGACGGGUUGCCUCCCGCAAGCGCUUCUUUUUGUGCGAGUCUUGAGCUGGACUCUCAACUUAAUAAACUUCCAAUAUACUCAAUGCCAAUCCAUCUGUUGCAUUGAAUAUUUUCUUUGGAUCAAUUUGUAAAAUUUGGCUCUUUUCUUCUAAAAUUGGCCAAACGAGCUCGAAUUCAUGAAACCCAACAAUCUUGACAAGGUUUGGAACCGGUUGGAUACUAAUCAUAAAUGGAUCGCGCUUCAGAACUUUCUCCAAAGCUGGAGUCGUCACCCCACACUUCGAAACACAAACUGAAAAUACAGGGGGCCAUGUCGUGGUAAUGGUCAAACUACAGCUUGGUUCCUGCAAUUCAGCUUGUUCUUGUUCUUCGUCUGACCUCUCUGCUAGCAAUCUUUCUAGCUCCUCCAAGUCUCUUUCUGGAUUAACUUCUUCAUCUUGUAACUCAGAUGUCCCUUCUGUGUUGGGCAAGAUGUUAUCUAACCAUCUUCCAAAUUUCUUCAAAUCUUCAUCUGAGUCAUACUCCUCAUCUUCUUGCUCAAUUUCCUGUACUACAUCCUCAAGAAAAGCAUCAAAAGCAUCGAGAUUUGGAAAAUACAUAAUAAAUAAAAAUUAAAAUUAAAAUUAAACUAUAUAAAAAAAUUAAUCAAUAAAAUAAAAACGAUAACAAUUAGCAAAUAAAAUUAAAUAUUUGAACCGUUCCCCGGCAACGGCGCCAAAAACUUGAUGUGUGUGAAACCAACUAGUUUUAAUCCUACUAACUUAAACACAAAGACAAACACACGAAAGGCAGUGUACCUAUCGAUUAGCAGUUUAGUUCAGGUAAGUAGGGUAUCGAACACAGGGAACGGUAAACAAUUAAAAUAAAUGCUAAUAUUAUCUAAAUAAAACAAGUAAUAGAAAAGGGGUUUUCUCUAGUUUUGCAAGACUAGAAACUUAAACAAUUAACUAAAACUUAAACUAAGAAACUAAGAGCUAAGCAAAUAAAAAUCAACUAAAUUCAAUAAUAAAGAGGACUUCUGUUUAGGUUCGACUCAUUUGUUCCCAUGGAUGAUUUCAAUGUAUCAGAUUAAUUCUUCAUUGGCUACCGACUAAGAUGAUUAGUUUCACGUUCGCUAUUACUAAUCCUUAGGAAACAAAUUAACUCAAGCAGUGGCCAGUUGUCUAAAUUAACGGAUUUCCUAGUUAUUAAUUCGGGUUAAAUAAGACUUGUAAUGGUUAAUUAAAUUGGCCCUUCAAUUAACCUCUUGCUGAUGUUCAUCAAACAAGCUCACACAUUAACUUACCUAUCUUCUAGUUAAUUCUAGUUUCACAUUCGUUAUUCCUAGACAUACAACUAUGUGGUCACGUAAAUCAUAUGAAAUUAGCAACUAAGAGAUGUUCAUACAACUUAAUUGCUGAUUUAUUAAUAGAAGAAUAGUUAUUGUUAACACAUAAGGUUCUUUAACAAGCUUAAUAAAACAUAAUCACCAAUUAAAAUUAAUCCUAAUCAAAUAAUCAAUCCAUGUUCACAAAUUCAUCUACCUAAACAGAAGUUAUGAGUUUUUAGCUCAUGAUUACAGCAGAAACAAGCUCAAAAACGAAAUCAAAGUAUGUAAACAUGAUUCAAAUCAAAAGGUUACUAAGAAUAAACCAAAAUUGUCUUGAUUCUCUUCACAAUUGAAUGUAGGGUUGAUUCUUCAGUUCCUCACGACCUAGCAGCACUUCCAAUCGUUUCUCAGCCUCCUAGGGUUUCUCUCCAUGCUAGGGUAUCGAUCUGAAAGUCCCUUUAUAUAGAUUUUCACAAAACAGAGGCUACUCGGCGAGUCCAGUGACCUACUCGCCGAGUACAUCACUUAAAACCCGUGUACGGCAAGUCAACGCGUCCAGAAUCGCGAAAGUUCGAUACAACUCGCCGAGUAAUCGACCCUACUCGCCGAGUACGUUUCAAAUCAGCAUUUUCUCAAAACACGAAAGUCAUCCGAAAUUGUGUCUAGUUUUCAGAACAUUUUGAAUCUCGUCAAUCGGAGUUACGGAUCAUGAGAUAUGGCCAAAACACUGAUGAGGGGUCAAGCUGUCGAGCAACAUCCUUCUCUCUUCAAAAUCCAAGAUCCAAGCUUCCAAUCGCUAGUUCCGCUUCAUUUUCCUUUCGAACAUGUCUUUGUUGCUGAAAAUGAAAUAUUUAAGCUAAUUAAGCACCUUUGGUUCAUUAUUUGAGAUAAAAUUAACAUAAAGUAUUAAGAUCAUGCAUGGUUUUAUGACUAAAUAUGCUCAUAUCACAUAUAGAGCUCACAAGGUGAGCCUAGCUCACGAGGAGAGCAUAUGUGGUUCACCAGGUGAACCUAGUUUUUUUAGCCCUAUAAAUAGAAUUCGAAGGGCAGCCGAUUUAGGUAGCUACUUUCUUACUUUCCCACUCCCGAUACUCUCUCUAAGCCCUAUUUUAACCCCUCGAAGCCCCGGUAUCAUCCCGAUACCCGAAGCAAGUCCCAAUGCCCGAAGAUCCCUAGAAGAAAAGAGUUUCCGAGCCGAAGCUCUGCCUACGAGAAGGUUGGUGUGUGAAGAUCUUCUAGUUUCACCGAAGAAAUACUACUUCUAUAAGCAGUAGUGUUGUCCAAUCAUCUUCUGAUCAAGUGAGUGUGUUGUUACUUUCUUUUACCGCAUAGAUAUGAAGUAUUUGCUAUGAAAUACGGGCUAUAUGUUUAUACGUUGUUUGUUUACUUGAGAUGGUUGUUGAAUGAAUGUUUUAUAAAGAUUUUUAAAUGAUUUAAGCUAUAUAUGUAAUUUAUAUCUCCAAAUAUGUUGGGUAGAACAUGGUUAGAUGAAAUAGUUGAUGUGAGGAGAUAUAAUAAGUGUUUCUAAACUCUAUGUGUUCACUUGGUGUAUUUGAACUCUAUGUGUUCGUUAUGUAUUUUUGAAGUCUAUGUGUUCACUUGGUUUUUGAACUCAACGUGUUCAUUAGGUAUUUUUGAACUCUAUGUGUUCACUUGGUGUUUGAACUCAAUGUGUUCAUUAGGUAUUUUUGAACUCUACGUGUUCACUUGGUAUUUAUGAACUCAAUGUGUUCAUAAAGUAUUUUUGAACUAGAUGUGUUCACUUGGUGUUGUUGAACUGAGUGUGUUCACUAAGUGUUUAGAACUAAGUAUUCACUAGAUGUUUUGAAUUAAGUGUUCACUAGGAGUGUUAGAACUAGGUGUUCGUUAAGUAUGUUGAACUAAGUGUUUACUGUUUGUAAUUUGAGGACCUUGGCAGUGGUGGACUUUGUGUUAAUUCCUUAGGUCAAUCCUUAGGAAUAAACGAAUAAAGGAUAGUUUAUUCUUAGGGUAAAUCCUUAAGAAAUAAAGGAGAUAAUGGGAAUGGGUAAUUUAUAUUAAUUGAUUCAUUGAUUGAUUGAUGAUUGAAUAUAAUAAUUAUAUUAUUGUGGGUCGAAAACCCUAUAUGCUCACCAGGCUCCCAAGGCUGACCCAAUUAGGUUUCUUUGCAUUACAGGUAAUGGCACAAGAGUAUAAGUUGGUGGACUUGAAGAGAGAUUUUGGAUAAUAGACUAGUAGUUGUAAAUAACUGCUGUAAGGUCGAAUUGUAUUCUUUAUGAUUUUGGUCUAUAUCGGUACAUGACAUCCCGAGGUUUUAUUAUUUAAUGAAAAUACAAUAUCUUUGAGAAAUUUUUUUGAUAAAUUUUAUCAUAUUUUUUUUGGGAACGAAUUAUGCAACUCUUUUAAUCAAAGGAUUACUCUGAUUUUAUAAAACAAAGCAUAAACAAAUCGGUCUUUUCUGGUCGUGAAUUUGCGAAUGUCACAGGUUCGUGGGUGAUUUUUGUCUACGGUGCCCUUGGGAUUUGAAAAAGUUUUGGCACGUGAAUUACUAUCAGGUUUUUACUUACUGAUGGAUUGAUGUGAUUUUGAAGGUUCUGGAGUUGGUAAAAUGUAUUUCCACUUUGGAUCAUUUAAGGAAUAUCUUUGAAAAUAAUAUUUUUGAAAAGAUGUGACUUUCUUUUGGGAUUUUGCAGGGGUGUUUGAAAAAAAUUUCGUUACUGUACAUUCCUUUUUGUUUGAACCUUUGACCAUCGUGAUUCUUGAAAGAUUUUUAGCAGAUGUGGUUUUUUCAAGACCUUUUUUAUUUGAAAUUUGUUUGAAAAUUUUGUUUUUGUAGUCAGUAUCCCUUUUUACCUCAGGACCUAAGCUCUUCUUUGAAAGCCAAAUUUGCUUGAGUUUUUGGAGAACCAUAGUCAGAAAUGUUUAACUGCGGUUUCUUGAAAACCUUUGUCUAUUUUGAAAAACGAGGACUCAAGUCAUCGGAAAUAAAGAGUUCAAGCUCUUGUGAACAUUGACCAUAUUCAAAAUUUUCAAUUGGUAAUUCGUGAAGGAUGGGUUGAAUGGUCAUUGUGCUUAUGACUGUGGUCUGCGGUGCGGAUGACUGGAUCGCCGCAGAGUAAGUCAAUGAUGAUUCAUUGUUUGGACAUUUUAUGGAAGGUAAGGAUGGACAAUUUACAACUGCUUCUCGUCCUUCCACAAUGAUUUCUUCAUCUACAUCUAAAGAGGACUGAGAAUCGGGACAAAUUGUGCCAAUGAUGGGUAUUUGAUCACUUGGAUGACCAGAGGAUUCAUGAAGAAUUUCCUCGAUGGCACAAUUGUUACUUAGUUCAUGAAGUCGACUGAAGUGGCAUCUUAUGUCUUUAGGAAAUGUUUUAUCACUAACUGGAUAAUGAAACUCACGAUCCAGUGGGACAUAUGGUCGAUCAACAUUGAAUCGGGGAGUUGAGUCCUCAUUGGUUGAGUACCUAAUGGACCAUCCCCAAUUAUAGGUGUUGUCCACAGUCCCGUUGGUAACUAAGUUUUCAAUUGCUCCGGAUUCAUUAAAGACAUUUUCAAUUAAUUGAUUUAAAUGUACAAUUUCUUUUUGGGCUAAAUCCCUUUGAUUUAAACCAAUUUCUAACUGAGUUUCAUUCAACAUCCUAUCAUCUUUUUCUAACAACAAGUCCUUUUCUAGCAUAGCAACCUUAAGUCUCUUAUCCUCAAGUCUUCCACUCACAUAAUAUAGCUCUUGGGACACUAUAUUCUUUUUAUCUAGUGCUUUGGUUUAGUUUGAAAGGACGGCAGCACAUGUGUCAUUAAUUCUUUCUAAGUAUGGUUCACAAUCAUGCAUGCUGAAACUAUUAGAAUGGAUCAUGAUUUUUACCUGUUCGAUGAUGCUGAGGUUGCCAAUUCUUGGCCAUGUACCAUCAGUUUCUCUCCAACUUCGUCGAUCUGUCCUCUUCAGUAGCUGCAACCAUGCAUAUCUUCCUUUUUCCUUUGAUGUUGUCAAAAUCUUCAUCCUCAUCUCCGGAUGACCGCACCGGAUGAUCACUUUUCACAUGAGGAACAUAUGCUCUUUCCUUUUCUUUUUCUUCCAUUUCUUGGGCCAUUCUAAGAUAGAAUGCCUUGUCCUUAGCCACAUUUGCUUUGCAGUCUUUUGCAAAGUGAUUUUCUUUAUUACAUUUGCGACAAAUGAUGACUUCACUUGUCUCUUCAGUUGAGGUACCGAAGUCUGUUGUUUUGCUGGACUGCGGUGCCUCCUUAGAAUGAAGUGCAUUAUGUGGUUGCGGUGGAUGGCGAGGGUUUCAAGGAUAUCAUGAGUGGUUAGACUGUGGAUUGAAGUUAUGGAUAAAAGGUGGUUUUGUGAACUGCUAAUUCUUACGAAAUGAGGUUCGUGGUAGUCGGUUGAAAUGAUGGCUAACCAGGGCAAUGGCCUUUUGGAAUUCUUCUUCAUCAUCCAUUUCAGCAUCAUCUUCAUAUGACUGCGGUGGGUUGUCAUAUGAAAGUGGGAAGGAUGAUUUGGUAGGAUAUGAGUAGUGUGAGGUCUUGGUUUGUGGGGAUUAAGUUAUCAGGGUAAGUAGUUCAUCGAGGUCAUCACAAUCUUUCAGCAUAGUUGAUUCUUGUGCCUGAAGUUCUCCAUACAGUUUGAACAAAGACAAAGUAUGGGUCUUUCUAUCCCCUUAUACAAUCAUUUUUGUAGUAGACCAGUGUCUUCCCAAACCAUUGAGAAACUGUAGGUUUGUUUUGUGAUUGCUUCGAAUUGUACCAACUUUUGAUAGUUUCAUAAUGAUGAGGUCAAAUCGUUUGAGCAAGUCAUCAACACUUUCACCAGGAAGAGCUUUAAAAUUGUUGAACUCAUUGAGAUAGUGGUGCGUUUCUUAUCCUAAGCUUGUUCAGACCCUUGAUAGAGAUUUUUGAGGACAUCCCAAAUAUCCUUAGCAGAUUUGCAAUUGAUGAUGAUGUCAAAGUUGUCUGGAGCUACACCGCAAUAGAUUUCAUAGAAGGCUAUGGCAUCAUUUUCUAUUUUGUCAAGAUCAUCUUUGGUUGGUCGAUUCAUUGCAACCGGACUAGGGAUGUCAAUGGGGCCAAACGGGAGCGGAAAUAGCUGCCCCCGCCCCCGCUCCCGAAAUCACUUGUUGCCCCCGCCCCCGGUUCCCCCAUUUAAACAGCCCUCGGUCCCGCUCCCGGUUACCUCCAUCGCCCCGUUCCCUGGUCCCCCCCGGUCUAUCGACUUAAAAAUGGAUUUUUUUGGUAAAAAAAUGCUAUGUUUUAGACUAAAAAGACUAUUUUUAAUAACUUAAAAAGCUUAAAACCUAAUCUUUUAGAAACAAAAAAAAAAAAAAUCCAACAUUAUGAAUCCAACAUUACAAAACACCAAUUCCAACAAUCUUACAAAGAUAAAUCCAAUAUUACAAAUGCAAAAUACAACAAAUCCAAAAUUACAAAUAUAAAAUACCAACAUGUCCUACAUCUUCAAUAUCCAUUAAUUUCCUUCAACCCUUUAUUCACUGACAUUUGAAUAUCCUCCCUAAAUAAAUAACAAAAAUAAUAAUAAAAUAAAUUGUUAUCUUAGUUUAUUCAAUACAAAACGACAAAUUUAAUAAUUUUACAUCAAUUCGCUCGUCGUCUUCAUCGGAAUGUAAAUCAUCACCAUGAAUAACACAGCCUAACCAAGAAAAAAUAAAUAAAGGUAAUAAGAAAAAUAUAUUAAAAUGAAAAAAAACAAUUGGUUCAAGCAAAUUCAUACAUACCUUUUUAUGCAUGAUUUAUGGUGAGAAUGCAUCCCUUUGGUUCCAUUAUUGGUUGUAUAAGUAAUUUCCUUUCUACAAUACUUACAAACCGCCAUUUUGGUUCCAUUAACUUCUUCAUAGGUGAAAUGACGCCACAUUGGAGAUACAAAUUUCAUUGUUCCUCGCUACAAUUAACUGCAGAAUUGGUGGUAUCAUUAACCGUGGUUGAAUCAUUGGGUUGAUUUGGCUCUGUUGAAGACAUAACUACAAAAGUCUGAAAAUGGUUCACACAAAUAUACUAAUCAGCAUUAUUUUUUCAUAGAAAUAGCAAAAUUUGUACACAACUAAAAUCUUUACACAACUACAAUCUUUACACAACUACAAUCUUUACACAACUACAAUAUGUAAACAUGAGUACAUCAUGAAAUAUAGUGAACAACUACAAUAUGUAAACAUGACUGUAUUACAGUGAGUAGUGAACAAAGUUAGAUUUGCAACCAAUCAAAAUAAACAUGAGUAUAUCAUGAAAUAUAGUGAACAACAAACUAGCAGUCAACAACAGUCAUCAAAAAACCACAAAAAGUCAAAAUACACAUGACUAUAUUACUUAUUUCCGAUUUCUGGUGGAGAAGUCAACUGGGAUGCGAGAAACAAAAAUCUUGAAGUCACAGACUCACAGUCGCAUCUUAGUGGAGUAGUCGCAGACUAGCAGUCGAACUGUGAAGACUUGACAUUGAGAUACAGAAGUUGAGAGGCGAGAAACAGCAAACUCCAAACCUUAAAUUGAGAUUUUAAAUAACUUACCUCUGAUUUCUGGUGGAGAAGUCAACUAGGAGGCGAGAAAUCGAAAUCGUGAAGUCACAGUCAUUGGUCGCGUUUUUUGGUGGAGAAAUCACCGAUUGAGUAAUUGACUGACUCAUCGACGUCGUCAAUAUCUACUCUCCAGUCGUCGUUGAUUGAGUCGAUGGUCGAUUUCUACUGCCUGCUAGUCGAUUCAGUCUUGACAGUCGUCGUUCAAUGUUUGGAGUUGGACUUUGGGUCUUUGGGAAGAGGAAGGGAAGACCGAAUAAAACGUAUGGCAUCGGUGAUUUGUGAAUUGUGAAGCCCUAAUAUUAAAAUCAGUUUCCCCCAUAACCCAUUUCUAUUUUAUAUUAAAUAAAUAUAUUUUUUAUAUAAAUAUAAUGUGGCCCCCGCGGGAGUACGGGACGGAAAUACUCACUCCUGACCCCGGUCCCGAAAAUAACUGGGGGUUAAUAUCGCCCCCGCUCCCGCUCCCACUCCCGCUCCCGAAUUUUUUUUUAAAAUUACUCCCGUACGGUAUUGGGGUCCCGCGACGGUUUUUGACAUCCCUAAACAGGACCUCCACCUAGUCUUGCUUGAGUACCAUCUGCUUGAACAGAAGUAAGAACAUGGACAUGAGGUCCUUCUUCCACAGAUCUCCACACAUCUCUUCCAAGCCUCUUAAGAUACAUUUCCAUUCUUUGGGACCCAUUGUGGUAUUCAUUUGCAACAAGUAUUGGAGCUAUGUUCGAGCCUCCAACAUUGUUGGAAACGUUCACUGAUAAAGCUUGUGCCAAAUUUCCCUUUUUUGUUGUUUUUUUUUAAGAAUGAGCUCUAGUGGUAUAGAAGGCUUUUCAAAAUCAGAGUUUUGUUUCAAAAGCAACCACUUUGGCUCUGAUACCAAUUAUUGAGAGAAAAACUUUUGAGAAACACUUGAACAAAUGUUAGUACAAGAUAAUAGUUGUGGAAUAAUUUAAUCUUAAAGGAUCAUGUAAGCUUAACAAUAAUAAGUUAGAGUUGUUAGAUAGUUAGUUGCGGAAUUAUAAAGUGUUGAAAAGUAAAGGAAAUGUAAAUGACAACAGGUUAUAUCAAGUAUACACCAAACUGAUUCAUAAUGAGGUUUGCAUUCAAACACAAGUUAGUAUAUGUGAUUAGUUUAAGGUGAAGAGGAUCUUGAGUAUUAGAUAAGAUAUAAUAGAGAUAAGAGAGAAUGAUCUUGGUAUUUUAGAGUGAAAGUUCAGAAUGAACUUUUUGAAGUGGUAAGAAGUGGUAAUAUUACAUGAAGACGAGAACUCUAUUUAUAGAGUCUCAAAAAGUUACAUCCUGAAUAAACAAUAAUAAAACUAUUAACUUAAGUGAUAAUACAAGGUUCACUGGAUAAACUAAAGCUAACAUGCUAAGUCAGUUGACGUAACAAAAGGUCUUCACUAUGGUAGUGGAAGUUGCAGUUCACUAUGCGUUCAACGUAACUGUAGUAGGCACUCAUCAUUGCGGUAGUAGCAUCAACUGCGGUAGACAGAAAUAUGAUUGCGGAUAAGUUUAGAGGGUCACUUUAUGUAACAAUAGUUCUUGAGCUAUACCGGAGAGGAAAAGUCUACCUGGGUAUAAAGAUUCUAUUUUGUCUUUUCAGUAAUAAAACAAUGAUCAACUUUAUACUGACAUUUCUUAGUAGACUAAACAAAUCAGUCAUGGGAAAUAGGGUCAUCCAAGCUACUCUUAUUUUAUAAUUUAAUGUGUAUUGUUUUGUCUUGUAAAUAAAUGAUCUUCUUCAUCAAUCUAUUAAGGCUCUCCACUUCUGAUAUCUUUUUUGUGUAAUCAUUAUAUUAAUAUAAAAAUCUUUUUUAUCAAGAUUAUCUUUCAUAUUUAGUUGUUCAUCACUUUCUAACCUCGUCUUGAAUGCAAGACUUGUUACGAUUCAACCAAAUUAUUAUUUACUUGCAUAUAUUUUAAAGUAAACUUGUUGUUAUAUCUCUUCCUUACUAUUCCGCAAUCUAGUUAUUAUUGAGCUUAAUUAAAAGAUCCAUUAAUUAUGCACUUAUCUCAAUAUCAUUCAGGGAUUAAACCUCUUUUUUUCUCAACAAUUUAAUCACUGUUAUCUAUAGAUAUAGACCAAAUAUGAUUCUCAUAAGAAGCAUCAUUAAUGUCCGAUUUGUCCAGACGUUUCAUAACAAAUAUUUGCUUUGGUGUACGUUUGACUUUUGGAAAAAACAAUUGCCUUUUUCAUUCAAAUUUGUUACACUUCCAUUUUCAAAGAAAUGUCUCAAAUUAAUUUGAUUUUUACCAGUUUAACCAAAGUAGAACAAUCAAUUUCAUCCUCAACUGAAGUUUCACUCAUUUCGUUUUCAUCAAAUUCAGAAUCAAUCGUAGAAUCAUGAUUUUCAUCUGAAAUCAAUUUCUUACACAACAAGUUUCAUUUACCAAUCGAAUUAUUUAUGAUUUGUUAUUUGUCUUCUUCUGUUAACACAUAUUUCAUCAUGGAUUCACAUUUUCUUUUGAUUUCAAAUAUUCCUUAAUCUUUUCGAAUCCAGCCGUAUAUGAAUAUCUCAAAGAUCCAUCAGAUGAAACUAAAGAUUCAUGUUUGUAAUACUCAACAUCUAUUUCCUCUUCUUGAAAUUCAUAUAAGGGAAACAUCUUUCUAUGCAUCUCUUUUACAAUAUCAUAGUUCAAAUAAAGUUGUGAGAUGUUAUUAUUAGAGGCGACGAGCUAAUUGACAACAAAUAUUUCUUUGUUGCAUUACAAUUAUAUUAUCUUGUAUUAACAUAAUAACAUCAUCCCUAACUCUAUCUAGUUCAACUUCCAAAUCCUCAAUCCUUAUUCUUUUCUCGUCAUGUCUAACAAUAACUCUACUAAGAUUGUCAUCAAGAUUAAAAACUCUUAUGCGAAUCCAUUUCAAACUUUAGAUAAACUCAUAAAUUGUACCUUGUUGAUUACCUUUUUGCUAACCUCCACAUGCUCACUAACAGUUUUGCUAGACAUACUCAUGUCCAAACUCACACCAUCAUCAGUGAAAUACCCUUGACUCCUCGAACUUACAUUUUGAACCAUAAAACACCUUCUACUACUCGCUUUCUCCUCCAUGUUUGCGGCAUAGCAGGCUCCAUGUGUUGGCCUACGAAUUUCAUCAUCAUCCAAAUUCGUUGACCACACCUCUAUGUUUUCGCUAUCAUUGUAAUCCUCUUCAACUAUUAGUGAUUUUCUAGUGAGCUUCAACUUGCGAAGAUCUUUAAUUUCCAGACAUAAUAGGCUUCAUUCUUUUCCUUCUCUUUAAUCUCGUUUUCUUUCACUUAAAAUGCACUCUUUUGCAAAAUGAUUUUUUUCAUUACAAUAGUUACAAUCAAAUCCUAAAUCUCCAACCAACUUCUUUUCUUUCUUCUCAUCUUCUCUUUGAUAAACCUUGUAUCCAUCAUUUUUUAUUUUCUCAAAUCUUUCAUCCUUUGAAACUGUUUCCUCCUUUAUCAUUUCUUCCAAGGUUGUUGUUUUUUAACUUUGAGAAGUUUUUCUUGAAACUUUUCUUAAGGAUUCUAAACAUCAAAUCCUUCUCCUCACUAGUAAACUCAUCAUUAAUAGCAUCCGAAUCGAAAUCUUCGGCAAUCACUUUGGCCUUCUUUCAUUUUGUAUUUUCUUCUUUUGUAAAAAGUGUUAAAGUCUAACAUUUGAAAUUGGCUUCACCUCACUCGUUACUUUAGUUUCUUGUGAUUUAAGAAUACCAAUCAUUUGAGCCACAGAGUAAAUUUUGACUUGUUCAUGAGCUUUACCAAUAAAACAAUCUUUUUCAAUUCUGAUCUUAAUUCAUUCAUGAAAGUUACUUUCUACUCAAUAUCUUCCCUCUUUUAUUUCAAUAAACUACUCAACAGAUGAUUAUAUUUCUUAGUAAAUUGAUCAAGAUUUUAAUCCGGCUUAUGUUUGAAAGAUCUAAAUUUUAAAAGAAGAGUUGUUUGAAUUGAAUGUUUUUGAUCUUCAUCUCCUAAGUACAAUUCCUUCAUUCUUUUCCAUAUAUCAUGUACAAUAUCUAAUGAACCAACGAAUCUAAAUUUAUCUGGUGGAAGAGCGCAUCGAAGAUAUCUUUUAGCAUGUAUUUUGUUUUGAAGUCUCUUGUUCUCAUCUACAACUAAAUCUUUGGAAUUAAUAAAAAAAUUCUAACAAAUCAGUCUGAGGUAAGAAUUGGUUUAGUAUCUUUUGAACAUUGUUGAGGGCUAAUGGUGAUAGCAUGCCAAAUGCUUGAACCUUCAUUUUCAAUUCUAGUAAUGUAAUCUUUGACGUGUAUAACCUAAACUUCAUAAUCCUCUAAAUACAAAAUUGGAAUCCUGGUAGUAGAUCUGAUACUUCAUGGUAAGUUGAAAGAAACGGAGUGAGAAUCGUCUUUUUCCAUGAUUUUAAACAAAUUUAACUAAGAAUCAAUUCAAUGAGCUAACACGGAUUUCAAAUCAAAACAAGUAAUAUGAACAACGAAAUUCAUAUCAAUUUGAGAUUUGUAAUCACGCUUAGUAAAUUCCCGCUUUGAUACCAAUUGAGGAUCGAUAGAUUCUAGGAUGGUCAAAUCAUGAAAGACAUGACAUAAUUGGAUGAACACGAAGAUAUAAAUAAGAUUUAGUUUUUCAUUUAGAGAGUAAAUGGUAUACGAUUACAAUGAAGUAAGAAACCUCCCAAAUGAUACUCUCUACCACUAACGAACAACCCUUAUAUACCAACUACAAAGGAGUCAAUUAGGCUUUAACCAGUGAGAUCAGGAUACCUAUGCAAACACAGAUGUCAAAAAAAGCUAACAUAAACUAUGAAUCCUAAGUAUACAAAAAAAUACAAACACAGACAAAGUUGUUCCCAUAUACAAGUGAAAGAUAAUAAAAAUAACUCUAAAAAUACAUUUUGCAUCCGAGCUCAAACACAACCUAGAAAAUCUUUGAAUCCCAACAAUAAGCAUGAUAUUGUAAGAAACUGUUGAGCUAAAUCAAUUUAAACAAACCAUCCAACCCACUCCAUGAAGUGAUUCACAACAUCUCAAGGAUGAGGGGAUAGUUUGUUCUUUUUACACUCAAGCUCCUAACUAACUUGUUAUAUACCAACUAGAGGAUUACUCGAAGUGUCUAAAUAAUUUUUACAUAACAUAUAUAUUCAUAAUAUAUAAAUAUAAAUAGGUUUUAUUCACUUUUAUUAUUAUUUAAUAGAAAAAGUAGUUCUCAAUUAGUUGUCAAAAAAUUUAUUAUUUACAUAAAAUAAUGAUUUUCUAAUUAAGUACAUGUGUUGAUUAUAUUUAUUAAUAAUCACAUCUCUUAAAUAAAUAACCAAUAAUUAGUAACUCGCUAUAAGGUGUGACCCUAUAGGGUCAUACUAUUGAAUCAAUAUGCACAAGAAUCAUUAUUGAGUGACAUUGCUAAUAAUAUAUGAUCCUAUAGGGUCACACCUUUAUCAAGUUGACACAUUUUCUAUAUUUAUUAUUAAUAUGAUUAUUAAUAAAUAACAUUAAUUCUUGUAUUUUAAUAAGGUAAUAAUUAUUUUUUUUAAUUAUAAUUGUAAGAUAGUAUAACUUGCCAUUAUUUUAUAUGGUAUGAAUUAAUAAGUCAUGACCAACCUUUUGGACUAGUUGGAUUCUUUUGUCUUUUACCUAAAGAGAAAUUUUAUAUUUUAUAAACUUAGAGGUUAUAAAAAUUAAAGAAUCAAUCCUCUUUUUGAGAGGUAUGGUCGAAUUUAAUAAAAAAAUAUGGAGGUUGCUUGUCAAACUCUAUGCUAUGUCUCCCUAUGCUUCUAAAGGCUACAAAUACUUAAUAGUAUUUUAAUUUAAAGCCCUUACCUUGCAUGGGAUAUAAAAGGGGACUCUUUGCAUGAAAACCUAGCUAGUUUUUGGUCUUAUUUUCUUCCCUUCAUUCUCUUUAAAAUCAUAAGCAUGAAGUGCUCUCACACAUUUGGUGCUUUACAUUGGUGUGUAAAGCUUCCUUGAGUUGUCUCCUUUACUGCUUAUUUGAUUUAAGCACUUAAAGGCUUGAGACACUCAAGAAUACAAGAAGGAACUAGCAUUAAGAGUACCUUACUCUUGAUGGUGUAUACACAUAGAGAAAUCAUACUCUUUGAUUUUGAUAUCUUCAUCAACACCCCAACACCAAGUGGGUUCAAAGGCUUCAAAGGUUGUCAUUCUAAAAACUUCUUGGUUGUUUUUAUUUCAAUCUAACUUCAAUAAAUGGAUCCUUGAUGGUUAUGUUUUGUUAUAAACUAAAAAUAAACUUGUUAUUUCUAAAGACUUCCGUUGUCGGUCUAUAAAAAACUAACUUAUAUUUUGUAUCAAAACUCAUCAGUGGUAUCAGAGACACAUUUUAUAUGUUAGAAUGAUUUUUAAUGUUUGAUAACCUUUGGUUUUUGUAAAAAACGCAUGGAUUUCUUCUUUUUAAGAAAAAAUCCAUAUUUGUCUUCUUUGGCUACUUCUUUGUUAAAAUUGUUUAUUUUUAUAUAUAACCAUUUUUCAUGCAGUUUAGUUAGAUAAAAGUUGUCUUGGAAAAAAUAAAGUUGCUUGUAUUAUAUUUAAUUUGUUGUUGUGUAUAUACAAGCUAUUUGGACAUUUGUGUUGUUUAUGGUUGAUAUUUAUUUAUUCAUAAGAUAUAAUUGAUAAAUAAGUAUUUUUUUUUUCAUUUGUUGAUUUGUUGUAAAAAGAAUUAGUUAGACUAGUUGUAUUUCCUUAUUAAAUGUAAUAAAAUGAAGAAAUGACCUCCUUGAAGAUGACUUAACCAUUUAAGACCAUAAUCCCAACCAUAAGCUUCUACAUUUUGUUAUGGGCUUAAUUAUAGUGUUAAUGGUUUCAGUGUUGCAACUUUCACAACAUGAAGAUUUGAAGUCAUUUUAAAAGCAAGAAUUGACUCGGCAACUGGGAGCUUGAAGACCUUUUGAAGUGUCCAUUAAGUAAUUUUUAAAAAAAGACUUUAUAAUUCUUCUGAUGACACACAAAUUUUUUUAUUAGAUAUGACUUGGUUUAUACACGUUAAAAUGCGCGCAUUUGAUGUUUAUUUUUAUGUUAUUAUAUGUUAUGUUUUAUGUAUGAAAAUGAGUUUUAUAUGUCAAACAACAUUUUAACAUAAGAUAAUAUCACUUGGAGUUUGAGUGAAAAAUAUUUAAAAGAUAAGAUAAGAUGUUUAUAAAUGAAUAUUUAUAAAAACGUUUUUACCGAUUACCGAUUUACCAGUUAAAAUCGUUUUUUUUUUUUUGUUGAAAAUAGUUUUAUUGUAAAACAUACAAAUACCCUACUUUAAAAUAUUUGAAACGGUUUAAAAGGUGUUUAAACAUUAUAUAAACUCCAUGUAUUUGUAAUAAAUAAAGAGUUUUUAUAAAAAGAUUAAAAUAUUGUUAUAGCAUUAUAACAACAAAUAAUAAAACUAGUGAUUAUUUUUAUUUUUUUGCGUCGAAACUUAAUAUAUGAAUUGGUGUUUUAAGUAUAACGCAACAUGUUUAUAUUUUUAUGCAUGCCAAAUGAGAUUUAAAACAUAAGUAUCAUCAUUCAAGUUUUGGUUUAUCAAAAUAUGACUUUUAUCAUAAGAUACAUAAAAUUGAGUUUAUAAAAUAAAAUAAGUUUAUUCUACAAAUUGAUGAAGUCAUAAUCUUUUUAUUGUUAAAAGAAGAAUUAAAAUAGUGAUUUUAUAAGUCAUCCAAAACUCCAAGUCUUAAGUAUAAAAUAAAGUUUCAUUACGACUAUUAUCAGUUCUUAAAACCGAUCUACGACUAAUCUUUAAAAUACCGAAUUUUAGUUUAUGAUUCAUCGAGAUUAAUGGAAAGCAAAAAUGAAGUUUUACUUGACACCUAAAGAACCUCAUAAUAAGUGAUAUGAAUAUUACAAAAGGGUACAUGAAUUGUUUAAUGCAUGCAAUACUAAUGAGACCAUGUUUUUAUAAACUAUAAUAGUAAAACAUAUAUAAAACCUUUUCUAAAAAUGCAAUUUAUUGUCUUCCUUUUUAAAAAAAACACUCGUUAUCAUUUGUAUGGUCUUACUAUCACAGUGUCACCUGGUCAUUAGGAUUUUCCUAUGAUGUCCGGGGUAGUUUUGUGGUUUCUGUUUCUCACUAGUUUGUUACAAUACUACAAGUUGUUUCAAGUAGGAUGACUUGAUCGGAAUCUUAUGUGAUCAAGGUCACCUAACAAUGAGAGGUCUGAGGCAUAAAUGAGAUAAACAUGUCAAGUUAAGCAAUACUUGUUUAGGAUCCCAUAAUGUUGGAGUUAUAUAUCAUAUGCAAUUGGUAAUCACUACCUACCGAGUUUGAUUAAGUUUACAGGAUAAAGAUCGCCUAACCAUGUACUUGUUACACUACUUGGAUUCUAGACAUUAGGAAAUUAAUGUUUUAAGAAACAAUAAAAGGUAUUAAUUUUUAUAGACUAAAUAUUGAAAAUACUAAAUGAAACGAUGUUAAAUUUUGUAAAUAAUUAUUAACAUUCUUGCGUCGUGCAAAACCUCUCUCUUGUCGAGUUUCAAGAGACAAUAACAUUUGAUGACUAUAAUUUCUAUAACCGGUAUAAUAUCUUGAGGUUCUACCUUAAGGAUAAAUAGAAAUUAUAUAUAUUGAAAGAUCUCAUUCCUUAACAACCUCUACAAAGCAGUCACUUUGAUCUUGAUACUUUGAUAUAAGUAUUAUUGAGAUGAUAUUGAUGUGUCUUACAUCAUACUAGAGUAAUCAUAUUGGAUAAAUAGAAAUUAUAUAUACUGAAAGAUCCCUUACCUGAAUAACCUUUGCAAACCAGUCAGUCUGAUCAUGAUACUUUGAUAAAAGCAUUAUUGUGAUGAUAUUGAUGUGUCUCGCAUCAUACUGGAGUAAUCAACCUUGACUUGCAGAAAUUCUUGGAUAAUUAUGAAAAAUAUUAGUUGUCUCAUCAAGUAAAGAAGAUAUUCAAUCAGAACAGUAGAAAGUGCUUCAAGUCUAUUCAAGAAUUGAAUAAAGGAAGUCAAAGAGAUUGUGUACUCAAAUAGACUUAUAGUUCAGUUAAUGGAUAUACAACAUAAACCUAGAAAUCAAGAAAUGAUCUAAAUGAUUAAUAUUGUUUCUAUCGUGGAAGAAACUAGACAUUGAAAGAUGAACUACUCCUCUAAUCUCAUCGAGCUCAAGGAAGUCUGACUUGAUCAAGACUUCAAAUAUCUAUAUGAUAGAACUAUUUUAGUUUUCCAUCAUUCACUUGAGUAUGUUAUACUUCAGGUGGCAUUAAUAAUUGAUAUUAUGUGCUGAUGAAUGGAAGAAAUAACCAACUGAAUACAAACGAAUGGCAUUUCGUGCUGAAGAUAUAACAAGUGAUGUUACAGUCUUUAUUUAAACAAUAAAUGUUUUGCAUCUAUUCUUAUAUGGACAUGUAACAAUUGUAAAUUUAUGAAUAAACUUAGAUUUACUUAUCAUUUGAUGGAUGUUCUCAUUCAUGUUCUGAAACGAUGUAUUCUAUAUUAAAGAAUAUUUUCUCAUAAUGCCAUUUAUGAAGUAAAUCUCUAAUCUUUCGUUAAAUUGAUAGUUCUAAUCAUAACACCUAAAUAAUUAAAUGGUAUUUGAUUGAAACUUGUCUAUGUCAUGACUAUAUAAAUAUGAAACACAUAUACCAACUUCAAAAUGAUGGAAUUUUUGAAGGAAAAUGAGCUUAAUUCAUUUGAUAUAUGUGAUCUUAUUUUAUAUGGGAAGAUGAUUCGCAAGUGACUUUAUCUAAUAGUAGUUAAAGAACAAAAGGAUUUUCUAAGGAUUAUACAUAAGUGUUAUAUGUAAUCUUUUCAAUCCAUGAAAAGAUACGGUGAGAGAUACUUAAUCAGUUUCACUGAUGAUUUUUAUUCGUUAUUGUUGAAACUUUUGAUUUGCUCAAAUUUUUAUAUAGUGAAGAUUAAAAUACAAGUUAAUGAGAGCAUCAUUAAUCUUUCGUUUUGAUAAAUAAAAUUAUUUUUGUAAACAAAGUCUAUGUGGCACAUCUUAGGAGAUGUGGAAUCUAUUCACAACUCAUUUUGUCAAAAACACUCCCUCAUCAUUAGUAUGGUUCUUGUGGCACUGGAUCGCCUCGUUACUUGGAUCUAUCUUUUUAUGUUCGAGGUAGCCUUUGUAUUCUCUAGUGGGAUAAGUUCACCCGGCUACUAGCUGAAUGUCAAUAAUACAAGUUUUUGAAGAGGAUAAAAAUAGACCUUUUCGUCUAAUAUAUGAUUUUUUUAAAAGAACUAUUUACUUUAUGAAUUUUUGGAAUUAUGCUCAUUGCAACACAUAUAUAUAUAUAUAUAUAUAAAUAUAUAUAUAUAAAAUCAUUUGUGNCAUUAGACUAAGGAUGCAAUGGUUUAUCCUUACCUAAAAUGUAUGGAGUUAUAGAGCUUAUGUCAGACAAUAAGCUUAACCACUCUAGUAUUUACUAACUGUGUUCCAUAAGACAAGUCCUUAGAAGGUUUUUUUCUAAGUGUGAAGAAUAUCGAAUUUUAAGAGCUAAAGAACCAUAAGCUAAAUGAAUCAUAGUUUGAAACUAGCAAGUUUUCAACUGUUGUUGAAUUUGCUCAAUAGUCGACCAGAAACUAAUAAAACGCACAGAGAUGCAUUCAUGUAUGAUUAUCAAGUAUGGGCUUGAUAAUCUUCCUCAAUAUAUUAUGAAUAUAAAGAGAAAGUGAUUUUUCAGAGGAGAAAACAUACAUGAAUAAAAAUAUUUUCAAGAUUUAAGCUAACGUCACAAAGUAACAAUCUUCUUUCUUAUCACGUAAUUACAUAGUGUGAUUUAAUCAAAAAUCAAGAAAAUUCUUGUGUUUUUUACAAAGCUAGUGGGAGCGCAAUAACAUUCCUAGUCUUAUAUGUAGUCGACAUACUAAUUCUUGGAAUAAAUAUCUAUAUAGAUAGAUCAUGACAACUUAAAGGAUUAAGUAAAAUUGAUUUAAUUAUCAAGGAUCUGAAAGAGCUUAAGAUAAAGGAGUAUAAAAAGAGAUAUCUUUGUCGAAUACCACAUGACAUGAUUUUGAGAAAAAUCUGAGUGAAAAUGUUUUUGAACUAGAUAGCAUGAUUGUAUAUCAUAUGUUGUUGUUAUUGGAUUAAUCAUAUAUGUCAUAAUUACACAUAAAGGCCAAAUAAGUCGUAUACUUAGAGCAUAUCGAAUGAUACCAGUAUAGUCUGAGAACAAGUCAUUGUGCGACUUAUAGGAGCAUUCUAAAGUACUUGCAAGAACUAGAGAAAUAUUCCUAAAAUAUGGAGUAUUUGAAAGAAAGAUAUGGUUAAAGAUGAUAUACAUGUACUGAACUUCCAAAUAGAUUGAGAUGACACUCAAUCACAAUCUGGCAUGUCCUCAUUAUGAAUGAAGAUAAAGUUACAUGAAAAGCGAUUCCGUACUGAUUUUAAUUACAGUUACACAUCAAUGUUAUAGUACAUUGUGGUUUGGAGAUCCACAUACAAAUAUGCAUAAUGAAUAGUUCAUUAUUACUGUGGGUAAAAUCCCAUUACACAAGUAUUGGCAUCUAACUCAUAUUUAAGAAUCUGAUACAUACUCAAUAGUUUUCUCUAUAUAUGAGUUACAUACACAUACACACACACACACACACACAUAUAUAUAUAUAUAUAUAUAUAUAUAUAUAUAUAUAUAUAUAUAUAUAACUGAAAAUUUUUCUAUUCACACAGUUUAUACAAAUUAAGUUGGUCAAAUCUACUUAACAAAGAUUCUUCAUUAGCUAAAGCAUGAAAGUCAACAUGGUGCUAUAGGGCCUUGUUGAUAUAAGUAGAUGUAUUUGAUUGAAAUUUAGUAUUUGCAUAUUAGAACAAAGUAACCAACAUAUAUUGGAAUGAAUUGAUAUAUAUAUUGGAUAUGAGUCUUUCAUUGAAUAAUUGUUGUGCUCUAUAUUAGAUUGUUUAAAUCCUUGAAUAACUAGGUUAUUCAAAAUUUCUAUAGUCAUUCAUAGUUGUGGGAACAUCUAUGAGGUAAGACUAAUAUGAGAUCAUUGGUUGAUUUUCAUGGAGAUGGAAACAGCAAGAGCUGCUACCAACUUUGUGGAUCAUAGUCAAGAGUGUUGUGUUAAUCAAGGUUGUAUCUUUGUAUUUUUAGAACUGAGAUACAUAUUUGGGACAUGAAGUGUAGAAAUUGUUGUGUUUUGACAUGGUUUAACAUUGUUCCAUAAAUCACAGUCAUAAGGGCCAUCUUUGGGUAUAACAUGAACUACACUGAUGGGUGUGUGUAGUCAAGAGGUGAUUUGUUCCUCUUACUCAUUGAUAGUUAGACAUCUAAAGCCUUACUCAAAGUUGAACUCUAAAUGAGAAUUAUCGUGAUCUAUAUCUCAUGUUCUAUAUGAUGUCAGAGAUAAACGAAUAAUUGAUACCAAACCUUUAGUAAAAAUUGUAGCUUAGAGCUCCUAGAAUUCGUUGUUGAUGAGAUGGCACCCUUCAUAUGUUGUUAGGGGUAAUAGCUUAUGUUGGGUUUUAAGCAUUCUAACACUCCUAAGUGUACAUGCAACCCUAAAUACCUUGGAUCUAUGUUUUCUCUAUUAUACAUGCAAAUAUGAACAUCAUAGGUAUUAUACUAACUAGCAUACUAAAACUUUGAUUCACAUGAAAUAUAACAAGUUAGAAUUACAUACCUCUUUGAUGUAGAAUGUCUUCAUGAAGCUUGAGUUCCUAGUGCCCCAAGUGUGACACCUCAAAUGGUUCACACAACAUCAUAUUCACUUGGAAAAACUUGAGAGAAUUCCACACUUCAUGAAAAUCGGCUAUCCCUAUCACUCUCACACACAUAGUGGCCGAUUUCUUGAGCCAUGGGAUUCUUUUAUAUGCUAUUAGGGUUACACUAUGUAAAUCAUAACUUUACCCAUUCCUUAUGCUCCAUGGAUUUUAACCUCCAUGGAGUAUCCAUGGGUCACCCCAUGAACUUAGUCCAACAUAAGAAAUCUUGGAUCACAAGCCCACAUAUAUAAGAAUGAAUUAUUUACAUAAUCAAUCCAUAUAUUUAAUUUAGUCUACUUUUGAUCACUUAGUUAAUUCCAAAUUAAUUUUUGAUUAAUACUAAUUAAAUAACCUUAUUAAUAUAUUAGAACUUAUAAUAUAUUAACAAACCUGAAGUGUUAUUUCUCUCAUUAUAGUCUAUCCAAAUGCAUGAUGCCAUGCAACCCAAAUGGACCAUGUCGAGUCGGGUCAAGUCUUACCAAUUAUAGUUAUGGACUUAGACAUUAAUCCAACAGUCUCCCACUUGGAUAAGUCUAAAACUAUUAUUGCAAGUAUGACUUCAGAACCCGACUAGCAAUCGUAGCUCUCAAAACCUUCUGUCGAACUCUUACCUUGUAGAUGAACUCUGACCUUUGUCAAUGACUUGUCCAUUAGAUAAGGGAUCAUAUAUUCCUCCAUUCUAGAUAUCAUAUGGACUAAGACAUGGAUUAUAAUCAUUCUCUCUAUCCUUUUGUUGUUUCCGGAUUUCCGAUUUAUGACGACUGACUAAUUGAACAAAUCAAAUCAGUCCUGGCCCGGCCGAGCACUUCCAUUUGUCAUCAUCAAAUCAUCGAGGGGCCCACAGAUAUCGCUUUUAUCCCGAAGGUAAAAGGAAUGGAUAAACUUCGACUCAUAUGGCUUGUUCUACUACUUGUUGAAUCAUACACAAAGGCACGUUUUAUAACACCGAGUUACCAAAUGCGUUUUCGUGCAAUCAAUGUACAACCAACUCAUAGUAACAACUCAUAUCUCUAGGUUUGAAGAAUAUAAGAUAUUAUCGUCUCAUGAUCACUCGUGAUAAAAUCCAUGAAGUGAUUCCAAUGAGCGCGGGUUGAAUCCAAUACUCAGAACUUAUGAGCACUCAUGAGUGUUGUAGCCCUUUGUCCAACACCUUAGACCUCUACAAGCCAACCCAUGACAGUCUUAAUUCAUAUCUACUUCCAACAUAUGACCGACUGUGGAUGGUUUGAAUAACUUAGUCAUUCCGGAAGAAUAACCUAGUUUAUUCGGGAAGUCAAAACAUGCAAAGUGAAACACAAUAAUAAUUGAAUCCAAUAUGGUAUCAAAACCUAUGAACAUAAAUAAAACACCUUUUAUUUAUCACCAUAUGAUUACACAUUAUUCAUUGUAUACUGUUUCAGCUAUCAACUUUAUUCUUGAAUUUAAAACAAUAGUUGUCCCAUGCUCCAAGCAUGUACACUAUGUUUUCUAAACACUAGUCAUGCCAUACACCAAGUAUGCAUACUAUGUUUGUCUAUGAUCUUUACUUUGUGAACUAGAUCAAUUGAACAUAACUUCAAUGAUUCUCUUUUCACACUCCCAAAUCCUUACUGCAAAUGCAAGAAUUCCAAAUUCAUGCCAUUUACUGAAAUCUGUUAGAUUCUAAACUUAUAUGCAUUGAUCCUCUUGUAAUGAUUAUGCACAAAGUCAGAAAGACUUGACAACAAUCAUUACAGAGUAUUCCAAAGGAGAUCAGCUCCUUGGAAACAUCCUUCUUGCAUUAAGUUUCCUAAUCUUAAACAGAUUGAAAAUUCUAACUUUGAAACAUUUCCAGAUUCCAUUUUGACUAUCACUUCUGAACAAGAGUUGCCUCCUUACAGAUUAUGUCAAUAUGGUCCUUCCAGAAUUAUCACUAUACUUCCAACUGUCCUUGGGCAACCAAUCUUUGGUAAGCCUUAGAAUGAAUAUAGCACAUGUAAUCAAUCCUAUAUCCGAAGCAUAUGGGACACGAUUCAUGAUGUCUCAUAUAAAGGCUAAACUAGUAUUUUGCUAUAACAUUUGCAUUUCAAUUUGCCAAGUUCUCAUAAUUCAGAUUAUGAAAAGGGAUGCCGUAAUCAUAAUCGAAUUUUAGAACGCAAAUAAUGGACCCAUAUACAGAAUUUCCUUAUGUUGAGCCAUUCCAACAUGAAAUUCAUAUAUAUCCUUGACUAAAUGAUUAAAACCUCACGAUCUAAGCUUAUAGAUUUGAGAUGAAGCAUAAUUUCCUCUCCCUUAAUUAUAGCAAAACAACUUUUUCCCAAUUGAAACUUUUGUUUUCUAUAAUUAACAUUGCUAACUUGCAAUACUUAUCAUAAUUAUCAUGCUCCCACUAACAUGAUGAUUAUUAGCAUAACACUUAUGCUCCCACUAGCUUUGACAUGUACUCAGAAAUCAGCUGGACUUCUAGAAAUCAAUACUUUAUUGACUUUCUUACCAAAGUUCAGAUUUCUGAUACUAGAUUGCUUUGAUAAAACUUUAUCAAUAUCAUACACCUUAUCUUAGAUAGCUCACAGGUGUGUCUAAACAAUUUUAAGAACUAUGAAAAGGGAUGUCGUAAUCAUAGUCUUGAUUGUUUAGACCUUUGCCACUUCUCACAAGUCCAUGUUAGUGUGUCGGUUAACCACACACGCUCCACUAACGACUUUGAGAAUGCAAAUAUCACAAUUGCUAUCUAGCUAAAAUCUACUUAGUGAAAGUGUUUCCUCACCAUCAUUUUCAUGAAUCGGAGAGAAACCUUAUGACACUUAGAUUUAAUGGUGUAUGUGUUCUUAUCCAUGUGAAUUGUCAAAACCAUAGUCACAAGACAAGGAUAAUGACAAAUCCAAACUCAUAUGGACUGAACUCAAUCUUAAUUUAUUGCCACCUGGCAGCUCAAGGGCCUGCCAUUGCUUCCAAGUUGUUGUGCAACAAAUUGAGAACUCUAAGAACUCAUAUGCAAAGCCAACUUUAACUGGAAUGGGCACAGAAUAUGUCAACACGAUAGGUUAUAAACCUCAAGUCGUGUGCUAGUGAAGAACUUCAGGUUUUAUUCUUGAUUAGUUCUUGAGACUUUCAAGACCUUUAAGACUCCCACUGUCCUCUUGACAUAUAAGACUUUCUUGUCAAAUAUUCAAGAGAUAGUGUGGAUUCUAAUCAAUACAAACACUUCACACAAUUGGCCUUAGUUGGUCUUUUGUUUUAUCCAAAACAUCACAACUUACCAAUUUCAAAUGUACAAGAGUAGAAAACUUUUACUCUUACAUUUGACAUGUGUUUUAAACCUUCUAUAAGUCAUGUCACUCAAGUUACAAUCUUGGAGUAUGACUCUAAGACUUGUAUUGGAACGAAGUAUGAAUCAUCUUCUCGAUUUAACCACUUCAACAAUUCAUAACUCCUCUUCUUAGCUAUCAGAAUGCACUUAGAGGGUGAAUUGUGAUAAGGUCUCUAAAUCAUUAAGAUGAUCAUAUAACAUGAUACUAAAGUACUCUCCCAUCUUUUCAGAUUUGAGAAACUUUUAUCCUUCUGCCUAAUUGGAUUCUUCUUAUUCGCUCUGUCAUACAUUGGAACCUUUUCCAAUGUCUCAUAAUUACACUUAAGCUUGUAAGUAUAACCAUAUUUACUAAGCUUUAGUAAAUUAUGAUGAAUAAUCUUAUCGAUCUUUUGUGGUGGACUUUACUAGUGCAUAAAAAUGUGUACUCGAUCCAUGUGAACAAGUAGUUAGUCUUAAUUUUUCCAAUGUUUGAAAGUUCUCAUCCAUCAUGCUAUACAACUUGCAUGAUUUCAAGUUUCGCUCCAAUUGAAACUUGGGUGAUGAGGAUCUUUCUUUAUUUGGUAAAUUUAGACAUUACCACAAAUGAAAGAAUCAAAUUCACUUUCUAAUAUUGCUAUCAGUGGAAUCUUAUAAGCAACAAUUUUCCACAAACGCCAUUGUAAGGAUACAUAAAAUAAAAAAAAAAUCAAAAAUUUCCUUUUAUUUUAAACUUUGCUGAAAAACUUAUCCUUACAAUCCAUAUGAAAACUUGUUGUUAUCUAUUCCUAAGCAAUAUCUCAUAACUCCUAAGAAGUAGCCCAAGAAUCCGAUCUUCAAACUAUGCGAUAUAAAUCCAUCUACGCGAUCAGAUUCAACAUAUUCUUUCUUUUAGUUCCUUCACUUUUCUUUGAUUCUUAAAACAUCACCAUGUGACCCAGUCACAUCAUGUAUCAAGAAUCUCAGAAUAGAAACUUAGCAGAGUUAGAUAGUGGACUUUACCUGAAGUAGAGUCAAACUUAUUGACUUUAACAUCCUUAGGU
RNAcentral lists this long non-coding RNA (26938 nucleotides) under Lactuca sativa (garden lettuce). RNAcentral's name for it is "long non-coding RNA (LSAT_LNC003725)". Lineage: Eukaryota; Viridiplantae; Streptophyta; Magnoliopsida; Asterales; Asteraceae. The record is from RNAcentral.